Molecule: ribosomal RNA, 327 nt
Filed under: uncultured eukaryote
Lineage: Eukaryota
Description: partial 18S ribosomal RNA
Rfam family: Eukaryotic small subunit ribosomal RNA
Source: RNAcentral
CCCUUAGAUGUCCUGGGCUGCACGCGCGCUACACUGAUGUGUCCAGUAAGCACCUAACCUCUUCCGAAAGGAACGGGUAACCUUUGCAAAGCACAUCGUGAUGGGGAUAGAUUAUUGCAAUUAUUAGUCUUGAACGAGGAAUUCCUAGUAAGCACAAGUCAUCAGCUUGUGUUGAUUACGUCCCUGCCCUUUGUACACACCGCCCGUCGCUCCUACCGAUUGAAUGUGCCAGUGAAAAGUUCGGAUUGGAGAUAGGAAACGGCAACGUAUCCUAUUUCCGAGAAAAUCUUUAAACUUUCCCAUUUAGAGGAAGGAGAAGUCGUAACA